UUUCAGGUCACAGCAUCAACUCCUAUCCCUGCAAUCGAGUCUUCAGAAGGAAUUACCAGGACGCUUCUUUGCCGUCAGGUUCGGAUCCCGUGUCUCCUGUAGCUCAAUCACCUAGAGCAGAUCCACCUAAGGUUGUGCGUUCGUCUACAGCCAUAUCAGCAUCAGGACUAAGUAUGCUAGCUGGAACUACAUCAAUACCUAAAAGGGUAAGAGCAUCUCUUUGCAUUUUGUUUGUUAAUCUACUUAUGGUCUGUUGACACUAUCUUAUGGUCGUGGAACUUUGACCCGGCCAUUUUUUUGACAUGGUAUCUUGGAGUGUCUAUUUUGUACAUAUAAUAUAUUGUAAGAUUCUACAGCUGUUAUUAGUAAUUCUGUUAUAGAGUAUCUUGGUGUAUUCAAGGGCAGUUUUUGAAAUCCUAUUGAAAAUAUUUUUUAAGGAACUCGAGGCGAAUGUCUCGGUUUCGAAGAAGCAGAAAAUGAAGAAGUAAGUUGUCUAACCAUUUGAUCUCUCUUGGUUUGCUUGACUCUAAUUGUGUAGCUUUUGCAUCAAUUCAUUUAGAUCCAAUGUUGCCUCGUGUAAAGAAUAAACCAUGUAUCUUAUGGUCUGAUCUCUGCCAAUAUGAAUUUGACUGUUGGCAUUUGUUGUUACCAAAUAGAUCACUUUUCAGCCAUUUAGAAAUGAGAAGUUGACUUGUGAAUGUGAAUUUGGUGUACAGGAUUUGACAACGAAAAAUAAUGUUAUGAUGAAUGAGUGAUAUUUUUAACAACCAAAGUGAUGUUUGACAUUGAGCUUUCUUAUUCUUGCAGCACACUGUUAGUAGUACUAUUUCGUUGAACAGAUGCAAUUUGUGUACUAACAAGUUUUCACUUUCCCAUGUGGGCGCUGAGGUGAUCGACGCUGACUAGCGCGGCCUGGUGGCGCUGUGCUCUUCGACCACUCGGAGGUGGAUUGAUGCAAUUUGCGUACUAACAAGUUUUCACUUUCCCAUGUGGGCGCUGAGGUGAUCGACGCUGACUAGCGCGGCCUGGUGGCACUGUGCUCUUCGACCACUCGGAGGUGGACUUCACCGUGAAGCCCGAUUUCCACGUCACACGGAUGAUCGCCCAGGUGAUUUCGACACCGGAGGUCGCUGAUGUGGAGGACCUCGACGCCACCGUCCGAGGGAGGGUGGAUUCCUGUCCACCGGCAUCUGAACUCCGAGCCUUGUAGAUACAUCUAGAGAAGUGGUCUGUUUAGGUUGGUGGUAGACCACUAGGGAAGGUACCCACCUUACGAUGAUGGUUGUGUGUGUCUGAUGUUAAAUGGAAUCUUGAGAUGGUUUUGUGAUGUUGGUUUGGUUUGCACUGGACGUAUUACCAUUCAUGAAUACAACAUCUAAUUUUUAUUUGUUUUAA
Long non-coding RNA from Triticum dicoccoides, 1395 nucleotides. RefSeq lists it as uncharacterized. The transcript has 3 exons. Lineage: Eukaryota; Viridiplantae; Streptophyta; Magnoliopsida; Poales; Poaceae. The record is from RefSeq and is a predicted model, not a curated record.